Molecule: ribosomal RNA, 1258 nt
Filed under: Escherichia coli
Lineage: Bacteria; Pseudomonadati; Pseudomonadota; Gammaproteobacteria; Enterobacterales; Enterobacteriaceae
Description: partial 23S ribosomal RNA
Rfam family: Bacterial large subunit ribosomal RNA
Source: RNAcentral
CGGUGCUGAAGCAACAAAUGCCCUGCUUCCAGGAAAAGCCUCUAAGCAUCAGGUAACAUCAAAUCGUACCCCAAACCGACACAGGUGGUCAGGUAGAGAAUACCAAGGCGCUUGAGAGAACUCGGGUGAAGGAACUAGGCAAAAUGGUGCCGUAACUUCGGGAGAAGGCACGCUGAUAUGUAGGUGAAGUCCCUCGCGGAUGGAGCUGAAAUCAGUCGAAGAUACCAGCUGGCUGCAACUGUUUAUUAAAAACACAGCACUGUGCAAACACGAAAGUGGACGUAUACGGUGUGACGCCUGCCCGGUGCCGGAAGGUUAAUUGAUGGGGUUAGCGCAAGCGAAGCUCUUGAUCGAAGCCCCGGUAAACGGCGGCCGUAACUAUAACGGUCCUAAGGUAGCGAAAUUCCUUGUCGGGUAAGUUCCGACCUGCACGAAUGGCGUAAUGAUGGCCAGGCUGUCUCCACCCGAGACUCAGUGAAAUUGAACUCGCUGUGAAGAUGCAGUGUACCCGCGGCAAGACGGAAAGACCCCGUGAACCUUUACUAUAGCUUGACACUGAACAUUGAGCCUUGAUGUGUAGGAUAGGUGGGAGGCUUUGAAGUGUGGACGCCAGUCUGCAUGGAGCCGACCUUGAAAUACCACCCUUUAAUGUUUGAUGUUCUAACGUUGACCCGUAAUCCGGGUUGCGGACAGUGUCUGGUGGGUAGUUUGACUGGGGCGGUCUCCUCCUAAAGAGUAACGGAGGAGCACGAAGGUUGGCUAAUCCUGGUCGGACAUCAGGAGGUUAGUGCAAUGGCAUAAGCCAGCUUGACUGCGAGCGUGACGGCGCGAGCAGGUGCGAAAGCAGGUCAUAGUGAUCCGGUGGUUCUGAAUGGAAGGGCCAUCGCUCAACGGAUAAAAGGUACUCCGGGGAUAACAGGCUGAUACCGCCCAAGAGUUCAUAUCGACGGCGGUGUUUGGCACCUCGAUGUCGGCUCAUCACAUCCUGGGGCUGAAGUAGGUCCCAAGGGUAUGGCUGUUCGCCAUUUAAAGUGGUACGCGAGCUGGGUUUAGAACGUCGUGAGACAGUUCGGUCCCUAUCUGCCGUGGGCGCUGGAGAACUGAGGGGGGCUGCUCCUAGUACGAGAGGACCGGAGUGGACGCAUCACUGGUGUUCGGGUUGUCAUGCCAAUGGCACUGCCCGGUAGCUAAAUGCGGAAGAGAUAAGUGCUGAAAGCAUCUAAGCACGAAACUUGCCCCGAGAUGAGUUCUCCCUGAC